UGUUGUGUUGUAAGGGCGCAUGGUGGAUGCCUUGGCAUAGUAGGCCGAUGAAGGACGUGAGAGGCUGCGAUAGGCCUCGGGGAGCUGCCAACUAAGCGUUGAUCCGAGGGUGUCCGAAUGGGGAAACCUGGCCGUCGUUGUGGGCGGUCGCCGUUAGAUGAAUUCAUAGUCUAAUUGGUGGUUACGCGGGGAAGUGAAACAUCUCAGUACCCGUAGGAGUAGAAAACAAUUGUGAUUCCGUUAGUAGUGGCGAACGAACGUGGAUGAGGCUAAACCGCGUGCGUGUGAUACCUGGCAGGGUUUGCGUGCGUGGGGUUGUGGGGAUGCAUUUGUGCAGGGUCUGCUAGUCCUGCGUUGCGUGUGUGUGGGUGUAGCGGAAGUGGAUUGGAAUGUCCUGCCGUAGACGGUGAGAGUCCGGUACGUGAAACACUCGCAUCUGCAAUUGGUGUGUUGCCCGAGUAGCAGCGGGCUCGUGGAAUCUGCUGUGAAUCUGCCGGGACCACCCGGUAAGCCUAAAUACCUGCUUAUGACCGAUAGCGGAUUAGUACCGUGAGGGAAUGGUGAAAAGUACCCCGGGAGGGGAGUGAAAUAGUACCUGAAACCAUGUGCUUACAAUCCGUCAGAGCCUCCGUGUGGGGUGAUGGCGUGCCUUUUGAAGAAUGAGCCUGCGAGUCAGCGGCAUGUCGCGAGGUUAACCCGUUUGGUGGGGUAGUCGUAGCGAAAGCGAAUACUAAUUAGUGUGUUUUUAGUGGCAUGUCCUGGACCCGAAGCGGGGUGAUCUACCCAUGGCCAGUGUGAAGCAGAGGUAAGACUCUGUGGAGGCGCGAACCCACUUAGGUUGAAAACUGAGGGGAUGAGUUGUGGGUAGGGGUGAAAGGCCAAUCAAACUCCGUGAUAGCUGGUUCUCCCCGAAAUGCAUUUAGGUGCAGCGUCGUGUGUUUCCUCCUGGAGGUAGAGCUACUGGUUGGUUUAGCGGGACUAUCAUCUUAGCGACAUCAGCCAAACUCCGAAUGCCAGGUCAGGUGAGAGCACGGCAGUGAGACUGCGGGGGAUAAGCUUCGUAGUCGAGAGGGAAACAGCCCAGAUCGCCGGCUAAGGCCCCUAAGGGUGUGCUAAGUGGAAAAGGAUGUGGGAUCGCGAAGACAACCAGGAGGUUGGCUUAGAAGCAGCCAUCCUUGAAAGAGUGCGUAAUAGCUCACUGGUCGAGUGGUUCUGCGCCGACAAUGUAGUGGGGCUCAAGUACACCGCCGAAGCCGCGGCAAUCACCAUUUUGUGGUGGUUGGGUAGGGGAGCGUCGCGUGACUGCUGUGAAGCGCUGGGGUAACCCUAGUGUGGAGUGUGCGCGAGUGAGAAUGCAGGCAUGAGUAGCGAAUGAGGAGUGGAAAACUCCUCCGCCGAAUGACUAAGGGUUCCUGGGCCAGGUUAAUCCUCCCAGGGUGAGUCGGGGCCUAAGGCGAGGCCGACAGGCGUAGUCGAUGGAUAACGGGUUGAUAUUCCCGUACCCGUGUGUCCGCGCCCAUGGUGAAUCAGGGAUACUAACCCACCUGAACACGCGCCGUUUACUAGCCUUUUGGGUUGGUUGGUGUGUGUGAUGCUGGGGACCUGAACUGGUAGUAGCCAAGUGAUGGGGUGACGCAGGAAGGUAGCCGUGCCACGUGAUGGAUAUCGUGGUGUAAGCGUGUGGCCCGUGUUCUAGGUAAAUCCGGAGCACAGUGGGUGAGGCGUGAUGCGUACCCGUAUUUGGGGAAGUUGGUGAUCCUAUGCUGCCGAGAAAAGCCUCUAGCGAUGUGGAUAUACGGCCCGUACCCGAAACCGACACAGGUAGUCAGGUAGAGAAUACUAAGGCGAUCGGGAGAACUGUGGUUAAGGAACUCGGCAAAAUGCCCCCGUAACUUCGGGAGAAGGGGGGCCAUGACUGGUGACCGACGUGGUUGAGCUGGUUGUGGCCGCAGAGAAUAGAGGGAAGCGACUGUUUACUAAAAACACAGGUCCGUGCGAAGACGUUUAAGUCGAUGUAUACGGACUGACGCCUGCCCGGUGCUGGAAGGUUAAGAGGACCUGUUAGAUUCCUUGUGGGGUCGAAGCGGAGAAUUUAAGCCCCAGUAAACGGCGGUGGUAACUAUAACCAUCCUAAGGUAGCGAAAUUCCUUGUCGGGUAAGUUC
RNAcentral lists this ribosomal RNA (2163 nucleotides) under metagenome. RNAcentral's name for it is "bacterial LSU rRNA". It matches the Rfam family "Bacterial large subunit ribosomal RNA", at positions 1 to 1983 of the family's 2925-position model. The record is from RNAcentral.